Molecule: ribosomal RNA, 253 nt
Filed under: uncultured bacterium
Lineage: Bacteria
Description: partial 16S ribosomal RNA
Rfam family: Bacterial small subunit ribosomal RNA
Source: RNAcentral
UACGGAGGAUUCGAGCGUUAUCCGGAUUUAUUGGGUUUAAAGGGUCCGUAGGCGGGCAAUUAAGUCAGUGGUGAAAUCUUACGGCUCAACCGUGAAACUGCCAUUGAUACUGGUUGUCUUGAAUUUAGUUGAGGUGGGCGGAAUACGUUAUGUAGCGGUGAAAUGCAUAGAUAUAACGUAGAACACCGAUUGCGAAGGCAGCUCACUAAGCUAAUAUUGACGCUGAUGGACGAAAGCGUGGGGAGCGAACAGG